This 6713-nucleotide small RNA is filed under the name Pongo abelii (Sumatran orangutan). RNAcentral describes it as "retained intron". The record is from RNAcentral. Lineage: Eukaryota; Metazoa; Chordata; Mammalia; Primates; Hominidae.
CAUGAAAAAGCGGCGGCGGCGGGAGAGAGGAGGAGGCGGCGGCGGGGCAGCGAAACUACGGUAGCUGCCCCCUGAGCUGGUGGUGUGGCUUUGUGGGGAGGGCGUAGUUCCUAAUCCCCUUUCUGGGCAGCCGCCGGGGCUCGGGGCUGUGAGCGGCCAUCAGGCUGCCUCCCCGGGCCCCCUGCCUCCGCCAUGUUCCGCAGGGCACGCCUUAGCGUGAAGCCGAAUGUCAGGCCUGGUGUAGGCGCCAGGGGCUCCACAGCUUCCAAUCCCCAGCGUGGACGGGAGUCUCCCAGGCCGCCGGAGCCUGCCACGGACUCUGCUUCCAAGCCAGCGGAGCCCACAGAUGUGCCCACAGUCGAUUUCGGUGGAGCGGAGCCCCAAGAAAAGGCUCCUAGGAGCAGUACUGAAAAGACUGGUAGUGACAAUGAUGUUGAAGAAUCCAGUAGAUCUUCCUCUACUGUUUCACAGAGAAGAAAGCGAAUAUCAAGUACUUCUAGUCUGGUUAAGUCUAGUGUCAGUGUUCCUUCAGAAUCUCAUCCCUUAUCUACAGUUAACCAAGAGGCUCCACAGCCAACUGCCACUCCAACAAAAGAGAAACAGCCAUGUUCAGACAGAUACAGAAUAUACAAAGCCCAGAAACUGAGGGAAAUGUUAAAAGAAGAAUUGAGAAAAGAGAAGAAACAAUGGAAAAACAAAUAUGCUAUAAAUGAAAGUCAGAGGCCACCAGAUCGUUCAAAAAUGACUAUGAGAGACUUCAUAUAUUAUCUACCAGAUAACAAUCCAAUGACUUCUUCACUGGAACAAGAAAAGAAAACUGAAAAGCCAUCGACUCCAGUCCAGAUAAGAGAGCAAGAAGGUAAGAGUACUCCUAAUGCUGAAGAUAAUGAAAUGGAAGAAGAGACAGAUGAUGGGCCAUUACUGGUUCCUCGAGUAAAAGUGGCAGAAGAUGGUUCCAUUAUUUUGGAUGAAGAAAGUUUAACUGUAGAAGUUUUAAGAACAAAAGGCCCUUGUGUUGUUGAAGAAAAUGACCCCAUAUUUGAGCGCGGUUCUACAACUACAUACUCCAGCUUUAGGAAAAACUAUUACUCUAAACCAUGGUCAAAUAAAGAAACAGAUAUGUUUUUUUUAGCCAUCAGCAUGGUAGGAACUGACUUUUCUAUGAUCGGACAACUUUUUCCUCACAGAGCAAGGAUAGAAAUUAAGAAUAAAUUUAAACGGGAAGAGAAAACAAAUGGAUGGAGAAUAGACAAAGCAUUCCAGGAAAAGCGCCCUUUUGACUUCGAUUUUUUUGCUCAUUUGCUUCAGAAAGUUCUUGCUGAAGAAGAGAAAAGAAAACAAAAAUAUGUUAAAAAUCACAGUUUAAAGGAGAAGAAAUCCACCAAACCACGGAAAAAUGUAAAAGUGAAAAAAGUUGCCUGUGAAGGAGUGAAUAAUGAUCCAGAUGAGUCUAUGAGUUCUAGAAUUUCAGACACAGAAAGAUCUCAGAAGGAUGCUCAGACAGUUGAAGAAGAGUCUCUGACCUUACCAAGGGAGAAUACAGAGCAGGUUGCAUUAGAAGUAGACCUAAAUCAAAAGAAAAGAAGGAGGAAGAAGCAAGAUGGAGCUAAUGAACUGGAAGUAAACAAUCUUUUAGAAAAUGCCACUGUUCAGGCGGGUCCUUCUAAAGGAGAAAAACACAAGAAUAAAUGUCAGGCUAUAAGGCCCGAGCUAAAGGAAGGUGAAUGCAGUAAGGAGCAGAUGCUUUCCUGCACACAAAACAUAGAUGGCAUUGUGGGUUUUGCCUCCACUGAAAAAGUUGAGAAAAGAACUGACCCCAUCCUUUCAUUAAGUAAUCAACAAGAUGCCACGUCAGUAGCAACUGAGUCUUCAGAAUCAAGCACUUCAGAUUUGCCUUCAUUCGAAGUUGGAAUUAGAGCAUUGUGUGAGGUGAAUAAUGCUGAGGGUAGUUGUAUAGAAGAAAGAAAUGUUGACCUAAAAAAUAAUUCACUGGAAAUUGAUCAAACAGAAAAUGUUAAACCAAUGUUGAGAGGUCGCUUCCAGAGACCUAAACCCAAUUUGUCAAGGGCUGGGAAGAAAUCAGUUCUUUCACAAGGCAAAACAGAGGCAGAGAGCAAGAAUUCACAUUCAAAAACUUCAGUUGAAAAGAACCACGUGGAAAAAGAUAAAAUGAAUACAUUGGACAUUUUGAGAAUGGAGACUACAGAGAGAGAGAAUCCAGAAGCUGAAACUUUAUCUAUUUUGGGUGAAAAAAAUUGUCUGCAGGAAGGGAGUCAACUAAAGGCUUUAAGACCUGCACAAGUGAGGGGCCGAUUGCAAAAGCCAAAGCCAAAUGUAGGUAAAGCUGCUGAAAGAAAAGAAAUUCUCAUAUCACAGGAAGAAAUUGGGGCCAAUGUAGAGAAGAAUGAAAAUGAAUCCUGUGCUGAUAGAGAUACUCCUCAACACAUGGAAGAUCAAUCACAUAAAGAUUUUGAAGAGGAAGAUGUCAUAUUACAGCCUGAGAAAAAUGAUUCUUUUCAAAAUAUGCAGCCAGAUGAGCCCAAGGUUCUUAAUGAAUGUCUACGCGUUCAAGAGAAUAAUAAGGCAAAUAAACUUAACCAAGUCCCAAUUCUAAGGACUCGAUUUCAGAAACCAAAGCCAAAUAUAGGAAGAGGAACUGGAAGGAGAGAAAUUUCCUCAAAGGAAGAGGUACUAGAGAAGAUUCUUGUCUCUGGGGAAAUGGCGGCAGCAUUGAGAGAAACUGUAAGACUAGACACCUCACCAAAGGAGAUGGUACCAGCAGAGAUUAAUACUAAAGAAAUGCAGUCAGAUUUAAAAGAAACUGGAAGAAGAGCCAUUUCUCCCAGGGAGAAGAUUCUAGAUGUGAUUGAUGUCACCAUGGAAAUGGAGACAGGUUUGAAAGCAACGGGAAGAGAGAUUUGUCUAAGGGAGAAGACGCCAGAGGUGAUUGAUGCCACUGAGGAAAUAGACAAAGAUUUGGAAGAAACUGGAAGAAGAGAAAUACCCCCACAGAAAAAUGGCCCAGAGGAGGUUAAGCCUCUAGGUGAAAUGGAGACAGAUUUGAAAGCAACUGGAAAUGAGAGUUCCCCAAGGGAGAAGACACCAGAGGUGACUGAUGCCACUGAGGAAAUAGACAAAAAUUUGGAAGAAACUGAAAGAAGAAAAAUAUCCCCAAGGGAAAAUGGCCCAGAGGAGGUCAAGCCUGUAGAUGAAAUGGAGACAGACUUGAAAGCAACUGGAAGAGAGAGUUCCCCAAGGGAGAAGACACCAGAGGUGAUUGAUGCUGCUGAGGUAAUAGAGAUAGAUUUGGAAGAAACUGAAAGAGAAAUAUCGCCACAGGAAAAUGGCCCAGAGGAGGUCAAGCCUGUAGGUAAAAUGGAGACAGAUUUGAAAGAAAUUAGAGAAGAAAUUUCCCAAAGGGAAAAGGUGCUAGCAGAGAUCAGUGCUAUAAGGGAAAAGGAGAUUGAUUUGAAAGAAACUGGAAAAAGAGACAUUCCCAUGAUGGAGAAAGUAUCAGGAAAGAUGGCUGUUGUUGAAGAAAUGGAGGCAGAUUUGAAAGAAACUGGAAGAGAAAAUUUUAGAGAGAGAGGAUCUGAAGAGAUCUGUGUUACUGAGGAAAAGGUGGCAGAAUUGAAAAAAACUGGAAAAACAGACAUUUCUCCAAGGGAAAACGAGCUAGAGGAGACCAGUACCUCAAGACAAACUGACACACAUUUAAUGCAGAGCAGUAGCAAUGACUGCAGUGCUAUGCCUUCACUAGAUAUUCAAAACAUUAGCAGUGAAGUACUGUCGAUGAUGCACACACCUGUAGAAGAAAAAAGAAAUUCUGAAAAAGAAGUAUCAAGUCACUUCAGUCAUUUCAAGAUUUCUUCACAGACUCAUGAAUCUGAUAAAACAGAAUUCCAGGGGAUUCAAUCUCCAGAUGUUCCAGAGCAGUUUUCAGAUAUUAAUUUAAGCAAACCUCUUCCUCAAGAACAGAAGCCACUUGAAAUUAAACCAGCACCUUUUGUGAGGAGCCGAUUCAAAAGACCAAAACCAAACUUAGCAAGAGCAGCUUUGAAGAGAGAGACUACAGAAUCAGAAAAAUAUAUAUAUGAGAAGAAAUCAGAAACCAAGAAAAUGGAGACCAUUGUGAUGCAACAAAAUAAUGAACAAACUGAUACUCUCCCUUUUCAACAUGAUGAAGCUUCUCUAAUGAUAUCAAGAGAAAAAGACACAUCAGGUCACAGGAAUGAGGAGGCUGUGAUAUUGCCAUGUACACAGACUGAAAGGAACCUUUCACCUUCAAAUUCUUGUGAACCUAAAGAGGAGUCUCAGUCAGCACCAGUCCAGAAAAAUGACUCAGUUGUUUCUGUGGGGACUAAUAAUAUAAACACUUUCCAGCAAGAAAUGAAGGAAAGUGUUAUCCAAACUGCUGUACAAGUAAGGGGCCGACUUCAGAGACUGAGACCAAAUGUAAGAAAGACAGGACAGAAGCAAAUAGUAGACAAAGGUGAAGCCAAAGGCAUAAUUAAGGAAGAAAGAACAAUAUUACCAAAAGAUGAAACUGAAAAGAAAGUCUUAACUGUGUCAAAUUCUCAAAUUGAAACUGAAAUUGAAGUUCCAUCCUCCACAGUUCCAGAACACAGAAUGUAUGAAAAUCAAAGUCAGGUGGUUCUUGUAGAAAACCUUCAUGUUAACAAAACAAAUGAAACAAUCAGACAUGAAAAUAAACUGUAUGUUCCUAGUUCAGCACAAAUGACAAGAAGGAAAUUCCAAAAGGCUAAGCCAAAUUUGGGAAGAGCACACAGUAAGAAAGAGGAACCAGUUUUAGAAAAAGGCACAACAGAUCAGGGCAAGGAAGGCAAGCCAGAAGAUCAUUUGCUGCAGAAAGGAGCUUCCAGCACCCAGCUCCUUCUAAAAGAAAAAGCUGAGCUUCUGACAUCUCUGGAGGUUUCAGCAAGAAAAGAUUGUGUAGGUUCCAAAGAGUCUGCUUUGGCAAAAAUAGAUGCUGAAUUAGAAGAAGUUGGACCAUCAAGAAGGGUUGGAGAGGAAACUGUAGGAGAUAAUUCACUAUCUUCAGUUGUUGAAGAGCAAUAUCUCAAUAAACUAACAAGCUGUCCACAACCGUUAAAAGAAACAAAUUACUCUAACAUUGCCCUGGAUGGGAAAACAACUAUCUCUUCUACAUCUGAGUAUGAGAGAAAUCGUGGUGAAAGGAGAAGUCAUAAAAAGAUCAAACCAAAUGUCACCAGAGGUCGUGGAUCAAAACGAGUUCGGGGUAAGACCUCUAAGAAGGAACCUAGAGCUUCCAAGGCCAUGCUGGUGACUCUUCGGGCUUCCCAGGAAGAAGAAGAUGAUGCUGACGAUUUUGAGUCUGACUAUGAAGAAGAAAGCUAUCAUCUUGCUCCCGAAGAAGUAAACAAAGCUCCAGUAUUUGUACCUGUUGGUCUCAGAUCUCCUGAACCUGUUUCUGCUCAGAUUGAGGAAACAAUGGAAGAGCUUGAAAUAACUGUGAAUGUCCCAGAUGUAGGAUGCAUAGCUGUUGUUGAACAUGAGCUACCAAACACAGAUGUGACUACUGAAGAAAUGAAACAAGAAGAAAAUUUGAGUGCACCGUUUGAAAUGACCACAAGUGAACAUAUCCAAGAUGAACCAGGUACCAAUGAUGGAAGCACCGAAGCUGCAAUAACUUUACUUACAAUGGGAGAUCUAGUAUUGCAGUCAGAGAUCAGUAGUGAACAGGGUGAUGUAGGAGCGUGUAUACUUCCUCAUGUUCAUUCAAAGGAUAAAAGCCAUAUUCCUUCUAGCCUAGAUAAUGUAAAUCACAAAAUUGUUCAUGAAUGUCAGGAGCUUUCUUCACCUGUCAUUACUACAUCUCCUGCAUCAUUUGAAGAAAACAAGAUUGUAUUGGAGGAACAAAGUUCCAGAGAAGAAAUAAGUUUAAUGGAGAAAGUAAAGGAGAAUGCUACACCAACCAGGAAUACAAUUUCUAAUGUGACCAGUAAUUUGAGAAUAAGAAGUAGACUUGCCAAGCCUAAACCAAAUCUUGAGAAGACUUUAGGGACCAACAGACUUGAUGAUUAUCAGGAAGUUUCCAGUUUGUGUGUAACCAAAGGGGCAGAAAUGGAAACUCAAAGAGAAACAGAGAAAAAUGCUUCCAAAGCAACAGAAUUGGAAAAUAAAAACCUCGGACCAGUUACAACAGCAGAGAAUAAGGAUCAGAGCAAACUGGCAUGUGUACAUGGUAUCAAAGGGACCAGUAUUUCUUCAGAAGUAAACCUAACUGAAAGAAACGAAAAUCAAGAAGAGAGCUCUCAGGAGGUUCACAUGUUGUCAGUUGCUCCAGUUGCUUUCUCUGAGACAGGGCCCUGCACACUUGGUUUGGAUAGGGGUCUUGGUGAAAAUUCUGUUGAAGAGCCCCAGAUAAAGGACUCUAAAGGAGACAGUGUGCUUACACUUCCUGUGCCAGAGGUAAAAGAAUGUACAGUAUAAUAAGGGAUAGCAAGGUGUUUUCCUCCAUUAAAAAAAAAAAAAGGUAUAAUUUACAUACAAUAAACUUCACCUCUUUUAUCUUCAUUUUUCUUUAUUUCUUUUUUUUUUUUUUGGAGACAGUCUUGUUCUGUUGCCCAGGCCAGAGUGCAGUGGUAUGAUCUCAGCUCACUGCAACCUCUGCCACCCAGAUUCAACAGAUUCUCCUGCCUCAGCCUGCCAAGUAGCUGGGACUACAGGCA